Molecule: transfer RNA, 73 nt
Filed under: Polyangiaceae bacterium
Lineage: Bacteria; Pseudomonadati; Myxococcota; Polyangiales; Polyangiaceae
Rfam family: tRNA
About the family: Transfer RNA (tRNA) molecules are approximately 80 nucleotides in length.
Source: Rfam by way of RNAcentral
GCCGGUGUGACGCAACAGGCAGACGUGCUCGGCUCAGACCCGAGAAGUGCAGGUUCGAAUCCUGCCACCGGUA